This 492-nucleotide ribosomal RNA is filed under the name uncultured bacterium. Its description in RNAcentral is "partial 16S ribosomal RNA". It matches the Rfam family "Bacterial small subunit ribosomal RNA", at positions 29 to 507 of the family's 1533-position model. The record is from RNAcentral.
AGUGAACGCUGGCGGUAGGCCUAACACAUGCAAGUCGAACGGCAGCACAGUAAGAGCUUGCUCUUACGGGUGGCGAGUGGCGGACGGGUGAGGAAUACAUCGGAAUCUACUUUUUCGUGGGGGAUAACGUAGGGAAACUUACGCUAAUACCGCAUACGACCUACGGGUGAAAGCAGGGGAUCUUCGGACCUUGCGCGAUUGAAUGAGCCGAUGUCGGAUUAGCUAGUUGGCGGGGUAAAGGCCCACCAAGGCGACGAUCUGUAGCUGGUCUGAGAGGAUGAUCAGCCACACUGGAACUGAGACACGGUCCAGACUCCUACGGGAGGCAGCAGUGGGGAAUAUUGGACAAUGGGCGCAAGCCUGAUCCAGCAAUACCGCGUGGGUGAAGAAGGCCUUCGGGUUGUAAAGCCCUUUUGUUGGGAAAGAAAAGCAGCAGGUUAAUACCCCGCUGUUCUGACGGUACCCAAAGAAUAAGCACCGGCUAACUUCGUG